GAGGGUAUAGCUCAGUGGUAGAGCACGUGCUCAGCAUGCACGAGGGCCUGGGUUCAAUCGCCAGUACCUCCA
Camelus ferus (Wild Bactrian camel) is the source of this 72-nucleotide transfer RNA. It matches the Rfam family "tRNA". From Rfam's summary of the family: Transfer RNA (tRNA) molecules are approximately 80 nucleotides in length. The record is from Rfam. Lineage: Eukaryota; Metazoa; Chordata; Mammalia; Artiodactyla; Camelidae.